This 253-nucleotide ribosomal RNA is filed under the name uncultured bacterium. Its description in RNAcentral is "partial 16S ribosomal RNA". It matches the Rfam family "Bacterial small subunit ribosomal RNA", at positions 524 to 776 of the family's 1533-position model. The record is from RNAcentral.
UACAGAGGGUGCGAGCGUUAAUCGGAAUUACUGGGCGUAAAGCGUGCGUAGACGGUUACGUAAGUUAGGUGUGAAAGCCCCGGGCUCAACCUGGGAAUUGCAUUUAAGACUGCGUAGCUAGGGUGCGGAAGAGGGAAGCGGAAUUUCCGGUGUAGCGGUGAAAUGCGUAGAUAUCGGAAGGAACAUCAGUGGCGAAGGCGGGUCCCUGGACAACACCUGACACUGAGGCACGAAAGCUAGGGGAGCAAACAGG